Molecule: unclassified non-coding RNA, 229 nt
Filed under: uncultured fungus
Lineage: Eukaryota; Fungi
Description: sequence contains ITS1, 5.8S rRNA gene
Rfam family: 5.8S ribosomal RNA (bases 181-229)
Source: RNAcentral
UCUCAGUAGGUGAACCUGCGGCGGGAUCAUUACUGAGUGAGGGCCUGCCCGGCCCGACCUCCAACCCUUUGUGAACACAACUUGUUGCUUCGGGGGCGACCCUGCCGUUUCGACGGCGAGCGCCCCCGGAGGCCUUCAAACACUGCAUCUUUGCGUCGGAGUUUAAGUAAAUUUAAACAAAACUUGCAACAACGGAUCUCUUGGUUCUGGCAUCGAUGAAGAACGCAGC